Long non-coding RNA from Beta vulgaris subsp. vulgaris (sugar beet), 1290 nucleotides. RefSeq lists it as uncharacterized. The record is from RefSeq and is a predicted model, not a curated record. NCBI's taxonomy places the organism in Eukaryota, Viridiplantae, Streptophyta, Magnoliopsida, Caryophyllales, Amaranthaceae. The transcript is spliced from 3 exons.
AAAUUAUAGCCAAUCCAAUUUGAAAGCCAAUAAAACAAAAAAGCCAAAAGCUAGCGUACAUUCUCAACUUCCAUCAUACACCGAUAGAACCCAACUGCACCACCCGCAUGAAUUUUGCGCCAAAGUUCAAUCGCCGGAAACCGUCGCGUUACCUUUUCGACCAAUUCGUCUGCUAGUGGAGUCGGGAUUGUCGUCCAAUUACGUCUUUGCCGACAUCUUAAGUUCGUCUGCCAGUGGAGUCUUGUUCGAUUACCACCACCACGCCCCACCACGCCCCAGCGACGCCACCACGCCAUAGCGACGCAAUUCGUCGGCCAGUAUCCUGGUAUUAAACUAAUCGAACCCAAUUCAUCUCGCCCUCCAAUUUGUUUUGUUAGGGUAGUUGAAAUAUAUAUACUGCAGAUCUAGGUUAAACAUAAUCAAGAAGAGGAGCAAAUGCUGCAGAUCUAGGUUCAACAUAAUCAAGAAGAGGAGUAAAUAAGGAUCAGCACUUGAAUCAGUCUUGCAUAGUAAUGAGAAUACAGAAAUGAGUGUCCUCGUCAACACCAAGAAUCUCAUGACUGUGGAUAUUAUGUGUGCCGAUAUAUGCUCGAGACUGUAGAGAAAAGGCGGCAAGCAAUUCCUGAUAAGUACUUUGGCGGAGUUACAACUGAAUUUUCUCAAAAUAAGCUUGAUGAGCUCAGAGACUUGUGGAUCAAAUAUGUGGAUGAAUAUAAACAAGUGGAUGGAGAAGAAUCCGAAGAUAAUGACCCCAUUUUAAUUAGGAUGUGUGUAUUUUCUUUUUGAGCGGGAUUAGAGAGGUGCUUCUACUUUUGUGUACAUGAAUUGGAAGAAACAGGCCUAGGUGCUGUUCUAUUUUUUUUUUUUUUAACUUAGUUGAAUUUUUGGAAUCUUUUAAACAUUGUAUGUGAUUUUGUAGUGAAUGAUAUUGAAUGAAAAUGUAUUCCAAUUUUAAAGUCAUCUGAAUUAUUUCAAUACAAGUGCCUAAAUUUUCUAUAUAUAUGUAAAUUAGGAGCAAGUGAAACAGAUCGGAGAAGCGCAUGUAUAAUAAUAUUAAAAUAUUUUUAUUGUCGUUUUUUAUAUAUAAAAAAAAAAGUUAAAGAGACCACCUUUUUCUUUUAGGUGGUGUUUAAGAAAUGAUUAAAAAGACCACCUACAUAUUAAAAAUGAUUUCUUUGUAAGAUAAAAAAGACCACCUAUCUGUAAAAUGUGGCGCCUUAUCCUUCUUUUUUUUUCCUAUUUAAAUUCCUAAAUAACCACUUAUUUUAAGGAAGUGGUCUCUUUUAUCAA